UAGAGAGCGAGAGAGAGAGGGACAGUGAGAGAGCAGGAAGAGGUAGACGAAACAAAUCAUCUGACACAGAGUUUCAAGGAAACUAAGGGAAGAAAAAAUGAAGGACAGGGAGAGAGUGAGUGAAUAGAGGAAAACUUGAAUAACAACUUCAGAAAACAGCAAGACAGUUGACCGAGAGUGGAAUGAGUAUUAGGAUAGAACAACACUGCUAACAGUGGAGGAGUGAAAGAGAACCCCCCCGAGGACAACAGGAUGCAGAGUUUCUGGAUGGAAUGGGUCCCACCUGUAAAAAAGACAAAGAAUAAAAGUCCAGAAGGAUAAACCAGGAACUGUAGAGCUCUGUCAGAGUGACCAUCGGGUUCUUGGUCACCUCCCUGACCAAGAAUGAGCGAGGAGCUGUCCUUUAAAGCAGGUGAAGUGUUCCUGAAGGUUGAGGGAGGAGGAUGACCAGGGCUGGUGCAGGGGGAUGAUGGAUGGAGGAAAGGACGGCUUCUACCCAGCUAAUUACAUUGAGGCUGUUGUGCAGUGAUGAUGUCAUCCUGCCACGCCCACACUCAAGUGUUACCUCAAGUGUUACAAAAUGUGCAUGUGUUCAUUGACAAAUCCACUUUGGUGCAAAAACAAUUUAGAAUUUUGAGUUGACUUUGACAUCUUACCAAAAUAACCAUAAACAUGAAAUGUUAACGCCCACAAUGUUAUCAUAAUCAUCAUGCUGAAAUAUGCAAUGUAAAUUUUUAUCUAAAGAUUGAUACCCUCAAUUAUCUAAUUUUAUAUCACCAAAUUUUUACAUUCUGGCACAAAGAACACAUGGUCAACUUCAUAAAAAACAUGUUUUCACAUCUCAAGAGGUAAAUACAAAAAAAUACUAUAGUAAGUGCCUAAUAAAUGCCAAAGUAGGUAACAGGGUUGACCGUAACUUAACCAAUUAAUCUUAAAUCUGCCAUAAAUCGCUUGUGACCUGGGGAAUGAAAGCUUGCUGUGUGCAACAGGGAGGGUCAAUUGAAUUCAAGCUUCAUCCCAAAAAUGAUACUGUUAAACAUUUAUAGUCUAUCUAUCUAUGGGUAAGAGGGUUGACAUGUUAUGCCAGACACACUCAGUUUUCUACCACAAAGCACCAACUGCCAACACACCUACUUUUACAUCAUGAUUUGACUUACUGUAUGUUCAAUGUUUAUAAAAAAGUUUUAAAAAUUAAGAGUUCACUUCACUUAAUAGGGUUGACCUUAAAAUGAGGUACAGACAUGAAUUAAUAAAAAAUAAAAAAUAAACAUUAAAUAAGUAAUAAUAAUAAUUUGUCAAAGCAACAAAAUAUCAAGGGAUUUGCAAUGAUGGUGAAAACUGAGAAACUUUGGGAUUAAGUGGGUUAAAAUCUUCAGAGAAGUAAAAAAAUAAAUACAUGAAAAUAAUGUCAAAAUAAUGUUUUUGUCAGUUUAGCAAAUCUUUGCUCAUAAAAAAUCGGAUUUAUUGAAUUUUCCAUAUGGUCUAUAUUAUUAAAGGGGCCUUUUAUUUAAUAAAACAGGCCUUUAAAAUUCAAUAUUGUUGCAACAUUCUUACUUGCAUUAUCAAACGAUGCAAAAGACACUUACUUCGCUGAACAACCCCUAUAUGUUUGGAAUAUUUGUGCAAUAUGAAUGAACUUAUAAAUAAAUGGCUAUCACUCACUGUGUGUACUUUUUGCAGGAGCUCUCCGGUUUAGAAGACCACAACAAUAUACCACUGGUGCGUCGGUGAACAGCGCCUUCAAACGAUGGAAUGCUCCGUCCACCUCUGCUGACCACUGUAUGCAGUGGCCCCCCCUUCAGCAGUGAGGUAAUAGGAUAAACCUCCGGUAGUAAUUGGCAAACUCUAAGAACCGCUGCACCUCUUUUACCGUGGUCAGAGUUGGCCAAUUACGCACGGCUUUGACGCGGUCACCCUCCAUUACCUCCCUCGAGGUGGAAAUGCGAUAACCCAGGAAGGAAACAGCUUGUUUGGAAAACUCACAUUGUACAGGUCAUGCCUCCAGCAGUCGCCCAAGAACCUUGCGCCUCAGAGACACAUGCGCGGCGCGUGAAGCGGAGUAGAUCAAGAUAUCGUAAAUACACACCACCACACCCUGUCCGUGCAGGUCUUUGAGAAUCUGAAUCUCGUCUACGAAGGAUUGAAAGAUGGCUGGAGCAUUCUUUAACCCGUACGGCAUGACGAGGUACUCAUAUUGGCCAGAUGUGGUACUAAACAUGGUUUUCCACUCAUCUCCCUCCCGAAUACGCACCAGAUUAUAACCGCUCCUGAGGUCCAGUUUCGUGAAGAAUCGCGCCCCCCGUGAAAUGAUUCCACCGCCGUAGCGAUGAGAGGUAGUGGGUAACUAAAACCCACAGUGAUGGAAUUGAGACCUCGAUAAUCAAUACACGGACGCAAACCACCCUCCUUUUUCUUCACGAAAAAGAAACUCGAGGAGACGGGUGACAUGGAGGGCCGAAUGUACCCCUGUCCCAGGGCUUCCAUGACAUAUGUCUCCAUAGCCAACGUCUCCUCCUGGGAGCUCCCUGUCUCCACGAAAUCUUAGGAUUGUGAAUAGCCAGUCAGGGAAUCCCCAGCACCACUGGAAACGCAGGUGAAUCGAAGGAACAGACUAACAGACGCUCCUCACUGGCCCACUCCAGGGCUCUACCCGUCAGGCAGGAGACGAGGACACUCACGCUCUCCUCAUCCGAGGGAGCCGGCCGAACGGUGGCUCCAAAGUCGUAUGCUCCAACGUCGUACGCUCCAACGUCGUAGGCUCCAACGUCGUACGCUCCAACGUCGUACGCUCCAACGUCGUACGCUCCAACGUCGUACGCUCCAACGUCGUACGCUCCAACGUCGUACGCUCCAACGUCGUACGCUCCAACGUCGUACGCUCCAACGUCGUAGGCUCCAACGUCGUACGCUCCAACGUCGUACGCUCCAACGUCGUACGCUCCAACGUCGUACGCUCCA
Oncorhynchus keta (chum salmon) is the source of this 2958-nucleotide long non-coding RNA. RefSeq lists it as uncharacterized. Lineage: Eukaryota; Metazoa; Chordata; Actinopteri; Salmoniformes; Salmonidae. The record is from RefSeq and is a predicted model, not a curated record. The transcript has 5 exons.